GACGAACGCUGGCGGCGUGCUUAACACAUGCAAGUCGAACGGUGAAGCGCCUUCCUUUUUGGUGGGUGUGGAUGAGUGGCGAACGGGUGAGUAACACGUGAGUAACCUGCCCCCUUCUUCUGGAUAACCGCAUGAAAGUGUGGCUAAUACGGGAUAUUCUGGGCCUGUCGCAUGAUGGGUCUGGGAAAGAUAUUGUUUCGGUGGGGGAUGGGCUCGCGGCCUAUCAGCUUGUUGGGGGGGUGCUGGCCUACCAAGGCGGUGACGGGUAGCCGGCCUGGGAGGGUGGACGGUCACACUGGGACUGAGACACGGACCAGACUCCUACGGGGGGCAGCAGUGGGGAAUAUUGCACAAUGGGCGCAAGCCUGAUGCAGCGACGCCGCGUGAGGGAUGGAGGCCUUCGGGUUGUGAACCUCUUUCGCCAGUGAAGCAGGCCUGCCUCGUUUGUGGGUGGGUUGACGGUAGCUGGAGAAGAAGCGCCGGCUAACUACGUG
RNAcentral lists this ribosomal RNA (494 nucleotides) under uncultured bacterium. RNAcentral describes it as "partial 16S ribosomal RNA". It matches the Rfam family "Bacterial small subunit ribosomal RNA", at positions 28 to 507 of the family's 1533-position model. The record is from RNAcentral.